This 204-nucleotide unclassified non-coding RNA is filed under the name Hevea brasiliensis (rubber tree). Lineage: Eukaryota; Viridiplantae; Streptophyta; Magnoliopsida; Malpighiales; Euphorbiaceae. The record is from RNAcentral.
GAAGCAUGAUAGUGUAGAUGUGGGGUUCUCUGAAAAGCUUAAUUUAGAUAGAAGUUCUGGGGAUGAUUCAAUAGAAGAUGCAAUAGAGAAUAAGAUUGAUUUGGGGAAUAAUCCUGAAGAAAUGGGAGAGAAGAACAUUAAAAACGAGGGCCUUAUACCCAAAGAGGAAAAGGUUGCAGACAUAACAGUGCGAGGCUCAACUGC